CCCGCACAAGCGGUGGAGUAUGUUGUUUAAUUCGAAGAUACACGAAGAACCUUUACCAGGUCUUGACAUACCAUUGAUAGGCGCAGAGAUGUGCUCUCCUUCGGGCAAUGGAUACAGGUGGUGCAUGGUUGUCGUCAGCUCGUGCCGUGAGGUGUUGGGUUAAGUCCCGCAACGAGCGCAACCCUCAUUGUUAGUUACUACCAUUCAGUUGAGGACUCUAAUGAGACUGCCAACGAUAAGUUGGAGAAGGUGGGGAUGACGUCAAAUCAUCAUGCCCUUUAUGACCUGGGCUACAAACGUACUACAAUGGCCAAUACAAAGAGAUGCGAAGCGGUGACGUGGAGCGAACCUCAGAAAGUUGGUCUCAGUUCAGAUUGAAGUCUGCAACUCGACUUCAUGAAGGCGGAAUCGCUAGUAAUCGCGGGUCAGCAGACCGCGGUGAAUACGUUCCCGGGUUU
Molecule: ribosomal RNA, 458 nt
Filed under: uncultured Mollicutes bacterium
Lineage: Bacteria; Bacillati; Mycoplasmatota; Mollicutes
Description: bacterial SSU rRNA
Rfam family: Bacterial small subunit ribosomal RNA
Source: RNAcentral